UACGUAGGGGGCAAGCGUUGUCCGGAAUCAUUGGGCGUAAAGAGCGUGUAGGCGGCCCGGUAAGUCCGCUGUGAAAGUCCAGGGCUCAACCCUGGGAUGCCGGUGGAUACUGUCGGGCUCGAGUCCGGAAGAGGAGUGUGGAAUUCCUGGUGUAGCGGUGAAAUGCGCAGAUAUCAGGAGGAACACCAGCGGCGAAGGCGGCGCUCUGGGCCGGUACUGACACUGAGGAGCGAAAGCGUGGGUAGCAAACAGG
RNAcentral lists this ribosomal RNA (253 nucleotides) under uncultured bacterium. RNAcentral's name for it is "partial 16S ribosomal RNA". It matches the Rfam family "Bacterial small subunit ribosomal RNA", at positions 524 to 776 of the family's 1533-position model. The record is from RNAcentral.